RNAcentral lists this transfer RNA (72 nucleotides) under Candidatus Daviesbacteria bacterium. Its description in RNAcentral is "tRNA-Lys". It matches the Rfam family "tRNA". From Rfam's summary of the family: Transfer RNA (tRNA) molecules are approximately 80 nucleotides in length. The record is from RNAcentral. Lineage: Bacteria; Candidatus Daviesiibacteriota.
GAGCGCGUAGCUCAACGGUAGAGCAGUACCCUCUUAAGGUAUUGGUUGAGAGUUCGAAUCUCUCCGCGCUCA